RNAcentral lists this long non-coding RNA (522 nucleotides) under Homo sapiens (human). RNAcentral's name for it is "HSALNT0327719". The record is from RNAcentral. Lineage: Eukaryota; Metazoa; Chordata; Mammalia; Primates; Hominidae.
UGGAGAGGGCGAGAGUGGUGACUAAAGAGAGGAGCCUUUCCUCCCCUUUUGCCUGCGCUCCGGCGCGCGGAGAGAGGGAGGUAGGGAGAGAGACAAACACAGAGCUAGAGAAAUUGAAAGAGAAACAUUCUCGAAGGCAAAGAGUUGAAAGGUGAAUCUACUAAGAAAAGAAUAACAGAGUGCAAUUAGCCAUGGAACUACAUCUCCAUCUGCCUCCUUUAAAGGAUGAGUCCUUUAAAGAGCCUUUGGAAGGAAUUGGGCCAUGAGAAGAGCCCUCAUGAAUGGGAUUAGUUCCCUUAUAAGAAGAGACACCAAGGAAGUGAUCUUUCUCUGCCCUCUGCUAUGUGAAGACAAGGUCAUCUGCAGUUUUUUGUUGUUGUUGAUGAUCUUCCUGUCAUAGACAAUGCUGUAACAAACAGACUAAUGCUUCAGAAGAAUUGUAAUAUUAGGUACUAUCUGCCUUUAAGAAAAUAGAAGCAGCUGGUGUGGUGGCUCAUGCCUGUAAUCCCAGCACUUUGGGAG